UAUGGAUUUGAGAGAGAAAAAUCAGAUCUGCCCAGAUCUGCAUAGAUCUACCAAAAAACCAAAUCUACCAAAAAAACCAAAUCAGAUCUGCUCGUGACAAGGUGUUCAGAGGAAGCCAGGUUGCUUGUGAUUUUCCUGCUUGCAAGGGGCUUGAGACCUUAGUUCGUCAUUUCUCCAAUUGUAAAACCUGGGUUCCUGGUGGAUGUGCUCACUGCAAGCGCAUGUGGCAGCUUCUUGAAUUGCAUUCUCGUAUUUGCGAUAAGCUUGAUUCAUGCAAGGUCCCUUUGUGUAGGUAAGCAUGAGAAAUCCUGUGGGACUUUGGUGUUGCUGCCAGUAAUAUGGAUGCCAUGUGCCACUAUGAUUGAAAUGAUUUUUGCAUAAUUACUCUCUGUGGUUUGAGGCAUUUCAAGGCAAAAAAUGCAACAGCAGACCCGUGACAAAGGAGCUUUCUCUGGUGUUGAAGCAAGAGGAGCUUCCAAGCUCAAUCUCAGGUCCAACUAUAUUCUUCAUCUUUAAUCUACAAUUUUCAAUAUUUCCCCUUCGAUUCUUGUUCUAAAAUCGUGCUUCUAUUGAUUUUUUUUUUUUUUUUUUGGGAUUGUUCAAGACCUCGAACGAACCUAGAUCAAAUGCUCUUAGCUCUACUCCUCAUCUUCAAGCUCUACUCCUCUUCAUCACGUCGUCGUCAUUGUUGUCGUCAUCAUUGUCAUCGUCGUUGUUUGGUUUGGACUUGAGAUUUUUGAUCUUUUGCUUCAAUUAUGUGUAUCUCUUCGGAUUUUAGUUGAUUUUCGAAAUGUAUUUUAAGAUUUGAUGAUCGAUUUAUCUUUUAUUACUAUUUCAGUUAUGAAUUUUAUUUUUGUUUAACAAUGUACUUCUAUGACAGAGUAUUAACAAUGUACUUCUAUGACAGAGUAUUAACAAUGUACU
Molecule: long non-coding RNA, 924 nt
Filed under: Prunus dulcis (almond)
Lineage: Eukaryota; Viridiplantae; Streptophyta; Magnoliopsida; Rosales; Rosaceae
Description: sRNA ncRNA
Source: RNAcentral